This 433-nucleotide ribosomal RNA is filed under the name uncultured bacterium. Its description in RNAcentral is "partial 16S ribosomal RNA". It matches the Rfam family "Bacterial small subunit ribosomal RNA", at positions 29 to 507 of the family's 1533-position model. The record is from RNAcentral.
AACGAACGCUGGCGGCAUGCCUAACACAUGCAAGUCGAACGAGACCUUCGGGUCUAGUGGCGCACGGGUGCGUAACGCGUGGGAACCUGCCCUUAGGUUCGGAAUAACUCCCCGAAAGGGGUGCUAAUACCGGAUAAUGUCUUCGGACCAAAGAUUUAUCGCCUUUGGAUGGGCCCGCGUUGGAUUAGCUAGUUGGUAGGGUAAAAGCCUACCAAGGCUACGAUCCAUAGCUGGUCUGAGAGGAUGAUCAGCCACACUGGGACUGAGACCCGGCCCAGACUCCUAAGGGAGGGAGGAGGGGGGGAAAAUGGACAAUGGGGCAAAGGCUGAACCAGGAAUGGCGGGUGGAGGAUGAAGGGCUUAAGGUUGUAAAGCUCUUUUACCCGGGAUGAUAAUGACAGUACCGGGAGAAUAAGCUCCGGCUAACUCCGUG